Esox lucius (northern pike) is the source of this 1069-nucleotide long non-coding RNA. The record is from Ensembl. NCBI's taxonomy places the organism in Eukaryota, Metazoa, Chordata, Actinopteri, Esociformes, Esocidae.
CUUGGUUCCCAGGUGAAUCUUGAUAUCCACCUUCUGUCUCUUCUGCUCGAGUAUGCUUAGCAGGUACUCCUGAAACACUCCUAUUUUGGUAAAGAAGUGUUCAUUGUGCCAGCAGCCCUCCAUGUUAUCAAAGUCGACCCCCAGUCCGAGAAGGAACUUCACGCUGCAUGGGUCUAGGGCAAUCUGCUGGGGGCGGCAGAGCAGCGCCGUGCGGUACCUCUCAUCCAGUAGUGUCAGCUUCAGCACCUUCCCUGAGCGAACAGCGACUAGCGCGGCCGUUAGCCCCACGGGACCCGAGCCCACUAUUAGAACCGAGAUCCUGGCCCGCCAUUGCCUGAUCCCGUCUAGGCUAACUUUGACCACCACGUAAACCACCACGGCUACCAAAGUGCUGAAUGCGGUGUCGUAGGCUAGAGCGCGGUACUGUUCCUCUGUGUCCUCGUUGUUGAUGCUCUUGACUCCGGUGCUUUCUGCCUGAGCGCCCAUGCUGUGGCUAGAUAUGAGUAUGAGUUGUAAGAGGCAGAGAGUCUAUGCGUGAUCACGCUACUGCCUCAGCGAAGGUUCUGCAACAGAGCAGCGCAGCUUCUCUCCACACAGUUUGUGUAUUCAUAAUUAUUUAGGUAAAUCAUUGACAAAAAUAUUACGUUUUAGAAAAAUAAAUAUAUAGUUGAAAAAUCCAAUUUGCAAGCGUGUAACUGAUGAACAGGAAAAUAUGUAGACUAUUUGUGUAGAUGAUAAGUUCUGAACGUGAACAGUACGAACUGUAAUCGCAUUUACAAACUUGUAACUGAGUAGUUCCAAGCAAUAAUGGCACUCGUAAACAAGGGCAUGUCAUUUCUGACAGUUCACAUUUUUUACGGUGAUUUAGCGUACUACGGUACAAAAAAAGACUCACAGAUGUGUAAACGACGAUUUACAAACAAGCAGAGCGAGACAGACCAAAGGAAUCGGCUGUGGAAGGCGGGACCUGUUUCUGACCAAUCAGAUUAAGAUUGAACAGAUCAGCGUACUCUACACAGGUUGCUUGGUGACCUUGACAGCUCCCUCCGUGUCUGCAACAUUGUUCAUG